Molecule: long non-coding RNA, 96 nt
Organism: Impatiens glandulifera
Lineage: Eukaryota; Viridiplantae; Streptophyta; Magnoliopsida; Ericales; Balsaminaceae
Exons: 3
Source: RefSeq, a predicted model, not a curated record
UAAGUAUAUAUAUUAGGAAUAUUUUCAUUAUAGAUAAUUAAGAAAAAAAAUACUAUUCUAAAAAAACAUAUAUGUUUAAUAUGUAGAAUUAUAUAU